AAUUUUGGACAAUGGGGGAAACCCUGAUCCAGCCAUCCCGCGUGUAUGAUGAAGGCCUUCGGGUUGUAAAGUACUUUUGGCAGAGAAGAAAAGGUAUCUCCUAAUACGAGAUACUGCUGACGGUAUCUGCAGAAGAAGCACCGGCUAACUACGUGCCAGCAGCCGCGGUAAUACGUAGGGUGCAAGCGUUAAUCGGACUUACUGGGCGUAAAGCGAGUGUAGGCGGUUUGGAAAGAAAGAUGUAAAAUCCCAGGGCUCAACCUGAGAACUGCAUUUUUAACUGCCGAGCUAGAGUAUGUCAGAGGGGGGUAGAAGUCAACGUGUAGCAGUGAAAUGAGUAGAUAUGUAGAGGAAUAACGAUGGCGAAGGCAGCCCCCUGGCAUAAUACUGACGCUCAGACACGAAAGAGUGGGGAGCAAACA
This 422-nucleotide ribosomal RNA is filed under the name uncultured bacterium. RNAcentral's name for it is "partial 16S ribosomal RNA". It matches the Rfam family "Bacterial small subunit ribosomal RNA", at positions 360 to 774 of the family's 1533-position model. The record is from RNAcentral.